GACGAACGCUGGCGGCGUGCUUAACACAUGCAAGUCGAACGGAAAGGCCCUGCUUGCAGGGUCCUCGAGUGGCGAACGGGUGAGUAACACGUGGGUGAUCUGCCCUUCACUUCGGGAUAAGCCUGGGAAACUGGGUCUAAUACCGGAUAGGAGCCAUUUUUAGUGUGAUGGUUGGAAAGUUUUUUCGGUGUAGGAUGAGCUCGCGGCCUAUCAGCUUGUUGGUGGGGUAAUGGCCUACCAAGGCGGCGACGGGUAGCCGGCCUGAGAGGGUGGACGGCCACAUUGGGACUGAGAUACGGCCCAGACUCCUACGGGAGGCAGCAGUGGGGAAUAUUGCACAAUGGGCGCAAGCCUGAUGCAGCGACGCCGCGUGGGGGAUGACGGCCUUCGGGUUGUAAACUCCGUUCGCUAGGGACGAAGCUUUUUGUGACGGUACCUAGAUAAGAAGCACCGGCUAACUACGUG
Molecule: ribosomal RNA, 465 nt
Filed under: uncultured bacterium
Lineage: Bacteria
Description: partial 16S ribosomal RNA
Rfam family: Bacterial small subunit ribosomal RNA
Source: RNAcentral